ACGGGCAGCAGUCGGGAAUAUUGCGCAAUGGAGGAAACUCUGACGCAGUGACGCCGCGUAUAGGAAGAAGGUUUUAGGAUUGUAAACUAUUUUAGACAGGGAAGAAACAAGACAGUACCUGUAGAAUAAGCUCCGGCUAACUACGUGCCAGCAGCCGCGGUAAUACGUAGGGAGCAAGCGUUAUCCGGAAUUAUUGGGUGUAAAGGGUGCGUAGACGGGAAUACAAGUUAGUUGUGAAAGCCCUCGGCUCAACUGAGGAACUGCAACUAAAACUAUAUUUCUUGAGUGCAGGAGAGGAAAGCGGAAUUCCUAGUGUAGCGGUGAAAUGCGUAGAUAUUAGGAGGAACACCAGUGGCGAAGGCGGCUUUCUGGACUGUAACUGACGUUGAGGCACGAAAGUGUGGGGAGCAAACAGGAUUAGAUACCCUGGUA
RNAcentral lists this ribosomal RNA (432 nucleotides) under uncultured Oscillospiraceae bacterium. Its description in RNAcentral is "partial 16S ribosomal RNA". It matches the Rfam family "Bacterial small subunit ribosomal RNA", at positions 344 to 792 of the family's 1533-position model. Lineage: Bacteria; Bacillati; Bacillota; Clostridia; Eubacteriales; Oscillospiraceae. The record is from RNAcentral.